Molecule: ribosomal RNA, 251 nt
Filed under: uncultured bacterium
Lineage: Bacteria
Description: partial 16S ribosomal RNA
Rfam family: Bacterial small subunit ribosomal RNA
Source: RNAcentral
CGAAGGGCGUAGCGUUGCUCGGAAUCACUGGGCGUAAAGCGCACGUAGGCGGAUUGUUAAGUCAGGGUGAAAUCCUGGAGCUCAACUCCAGAACUGCCUUUGAUACUGGCGAUCUCGAGUCCGGGAGAGGUGAGUGGAACUCCGAGUGUAGAGGUGAAAUUCGUAGAUAUUCGGAAGAACACCAGUGGCGAAGGCGGCUCACUGGCCCGGUACUGACGCUGAGGUGCGAAAGCGUGGGAGCAAACAGGAUU